This is a non-coding RNA of Potamilus streckersoni, 79 nucleotides long. NCBI's taxonomy places the organism in Eukaryota, Metazoa, Mollusca, Bivalvia, Unionida, Unionidae. The record is from the annotation of a GenBank genome assembly.
UCACGGCUCGGGUGGUCUAGUGGUCAGAGCGUCCGCCUCGGAAGUUGGAGGUUGCGUGUUCGAACCCCGGCCGUGUGAU